UACGUAGGGGGCAAGCGUUGUCCGGAAUCAUUGGGCGUAAAGAGCGUGUAGGCGGCCAGAAAAGUCCGCUGUGAAAACUCGAGGCUCAACUUCGAGCUGUCGGUGGAAACUUUCUGGCUAGAGUCCGGAAGAGGAGAAUGGAAUUCCUGGUGUAGCGGUGAAAUGCGCAGAUAUCAGGAGGAACACCAAUUGCGAAGGCAGCUCGCUGGGACGUAACUGACGCUGAGACGCGAAAGCGUGGGGAGCAAACAGG
RNAcentral lists this ribosomal RNA (253 nucleotides) under uncultured bacterium. Its description in RNAcentral is "partial 16S ribosomal RNA". It matches the Rfam family "Bacterial small subunit ribosomal RNA", at positions 524 to 776 of the family's 1533-position model. The record is from RNAcentral.